Molecule: ribosomal RNA, 260 nt
Filed under: uncultured prokaryote
Description: partial 16S ribosomal RNA
Rfam family: Bacterial small subunit ribosomal RNA
Source: RNAcentral
UACGUAGGGUGCGAGCGUUGUCCGGAAUUACUGGGCGUAAAGAGCUCGCAGGUGGUUUGUCACGUCGUCUGUGAAAUUCCGGGGCUUAACCUCGGGCGUGCAGGCGAUACGGGCAAUACUUGAGUGCUGUAGGGGAGACUGGAAUUCCUGGUGUAGCGGUGAAAUGCGCAGAUAUCAGGAGGAACACCAAUGGCGAAGGCAGGUCUCUGGGCAGUUACUGACGCUGAGGAGCGAAAGCAUGGGUAGCGAACAGGAUUAGA